RNAcentral lists this ribosomal RNA (507 nucleotides) under uncultured bacterium. RNAcentral's name for it is "partial 16S ribosomal RNA". It matches the Rfam family "Bacterial small subunit ribosomal RNA", at positions 28 to 507 of the family's 1533-position model. The record is from RNAcentral.
GACGAACGCUGGCGGCGUGCCUAAUACAUGCAAGUCGAACGCAUUUUCUUUCACCGUAGCUUGCUACACCGAAAGAAAAUGAGUGGCGAACGGGUGAGUAACACGUGGGUAACCUGCCCAUCAGCGGGGGAUAACACUUGGAAACAGGUGCUAAUACCGCAUAAUUCCAUUUACCGCAUGGUAGAUGGGUGAAAGGCGCUUUUGCGUCACUGAUGGAUGGACCCGCGGUGCAUUAGCUAGUUGGUGGGGUAACGGCCUACCAAGGCUGCGAUGCAUAGCCGACCUGAGAAGGUGAACGGCCACACUGGGACUGAGACACGGCCCAGGCUCCUACGGGAGGCAGCAGUAGGGGAUCUUCGGCAAUGGACGCAAGUCUGACCGAGCAACGCCGCGUGAGUGAAGAAGGUUUUCGGAUCGUAAAACUCUGUUGUUAGAGAAGAACAAGGAUGAGAGUGGAAAGUUCAUCCCUUGACGGUAUCUAACCAGAAAGCCACGGCUAACUACGUG